CGUGGGCAACCUGCCUCAUAGAGGGGAAUAGCCUUCCGAGAGGAAGAUUAAUACCGCAUAAGAUUGUAGCUUCGCAUGAAGUAGCAAUUAAAGGAGCAAUCCGCUAUGAGAUGGGCCCGCGGCGCAUUAGCUAGUUGGUGAGGUAACGGCUCACCAAGGCGACGAUGCGUAGCCGACCUGAGAGGGUGAUCGGCCACAUUGGGACUGAGACACGGCCCAGACUCCUACGGGAGGCAGCAUG
RNAcentral lists this ribosomal RNA (241 nucleotides) under uncultured bacterium. RNAcentral's name for it is "partial 16S ribosomal RNA". It matches the Rfam family "Bacterial small subunit ribosomal RNA", at positions 116 to 353 of the family's 1533-position model. The record is from RNAcentral.